Molecule: ribosomal RNA, 253 nt
Filed under: uncultured bacterium
Lineage: Bacteria
Description: partial 16S ribosomal RNA
Rfam family: Bacterial small subunit ribosomal RNA
Source: RNAcentral
UACGAAGGGGGCUAGCGUUGCUCGGAAUCACUGGGCGUAAAGCGCACGUAGGCGGCUUGCUAAGUCAGGGGUGAAAUCCUGGAGCUCAACUCCAGAACUGCCUUUGAUACUGGCGAGCUUGAGUCCGGGAGAGGUGAGUGGAACUGCGAGUGUAGAGGUGAAAUUCGUAGAUAUUCGCAAGAACACCAGUGGCGAAGGCGGCUCACUGGCCCGGUACUGACGCUGAGGCGCGAAAGCCAGGGGAGCAAACGGG